CAUGUUCUUCUUUCGGCUAUGUUCCCAUUCUGGCCAUGUUCCAGUGGUGUGCUACAGGGGUCCCCAACCACAGAGUCAUGGACCAGUACUGGUGAAACAUGAUUUUGUUCAUGCUUUGGCAGUGUUCUAAUAGAAUUUUCACUUGUUUAUUUACAAUUUGUCUUUAUGUUUUAAUAUGCCAAGUGGCUUAUUGCAUUUUAUUUUAUUCACAUUUGGCUUUUUUACUGCAGGAGCAUUGCGCAGCACAUCGUCCCAGGAAGCUGGAGUGAGCUCACUGGAAAAGACAUGCAGGAGAUCCCACGCCAGACCUCGGGGAAUGACUGUGGUGUUUUCAUGCUCAUGUACUCCCUCUGGCUCUGUACGGACACUACUUUUCACUACAGUGUG
Molecule: long non-coding RNA, 387 nt
Organism: Entelurus aequoreus (snake pipefish)
Lineage: Eukaryota; Metazoa; Chordata; Actinopteri; Syngnathiformes; Syngnathidae
Exons: 3
Source: RefSeq, a predicted model, not a curated record